This is a long non-coding RNA of Anneissia japonica, 547 nucleotides long. RefSeq lists it as uncharacterized. Lineage: Eukaryota; Metazoa; Echinodermata; Crinoidea; Comatulida; Comatulidae. The transcript has 2 exons. The record is from RefSeq and is a predicted model, not a curated record.
UUACAGUAACUUGUUUAUAUUUAUCAGCAAAAUCUUCAAGUGGCCCUAGGAGAGAACAGGCAUGCCAUUCACAGAGCACAACGGUGGUAUGAUGCCACAGAAAAGGCUAAAGGCUACACUGUGGGUCCAGAACUUCAGUCUGACUUGGAGACAAGGGAACGGUUAACAAGGCCUCUGGUUAGAGUCUACCAACGACACCCAGCCACUAACCUUCCUGAGGCACAAGACAUCAUUAAGGGUGCAGGAGCUCUUGAUCAUUCCCUGAUGACAACCAGCCGGAACAUAGCCCUCAUGGGAAUGGCUAGAAGCCGUCUUCAGGAUGAUAUUCAUCAUAAGAAAGCCGGAGCGAGCGUAGACUCUGCCGUAGUGCGCAUGCGCAGACGCCUAGCCAAUCAUCGCUGGGUGAUGGGUAGUGUGUAGAAGAAUCUUGCUGAAAAGUCAGAAAAAAAAACACCAAAAUGUGAUUUAAAAAUUCAAAUUGUAUGCAAUACCGUGUCUUUAAUUAAUGCUGUGCUCUUUAUAUCAAUAAAUAUAUGCAAUCAGUAAA